RNAcentral lists this ribosomal RNA (512 nucleotides) under uncultured bacterium. RNAcentral's name for it is "partial 16S ribosomal RNA". It matches the Rfam family "Bacterial small subunit ribosomal RNA", at positions 28 to 507 of the family's 1533-position model. The record is from RNAcentral.
GAUGAACGCUGGCGGCGUGCCUAAUACAUGCAAGUCGAACGAAACUUCUUUAUCACCGAGUGCUUGCACUCACCGAUAAAGAGUUGAGUGGCGAACGGGUGAGUAACACGUGGGCAACCUGCCCAAAAGAGGGGGAUAACACUUGGAAACAGGUGCUAAUACCGCAUAACCAUAGUUACCGCAUGGUAACUAUGUAAAAGGUGGCUAUACUACCGCUUUUGGAUGGGCCCGCGGCGCAUUAGCUAGUUGGUAGGGUAAAGGCUUACCAAGGCAAUGAUGCGUAGCCGAAUUGAGAGGGUGAUCGGCCACAUUGGGACUGAGACACGGCCCAAACUCCUACGGGAGGCAGCAGUAGGGAAUCUUCCACAAUGGGCGAAAGCCUGAUGGAGCAACGUCGCGUGGGUGAAGAAGGUCUUCGGAUCGUAAAACCCUGUUGUUAGAGAAGAAAGUGCGUGAGAGUAACUGUUCACGUUUCGACGGUAUCUAACCAGAAAGCCACUGCUAACUACGUG